Molecule: long non-coding RNA, 987 nt
Organism: Frankliniella occidentalis (western flower thrips)
Lineage: Eukaryota; Metazoa; Arthropoda; Insecta; Thysanoptera; Thripidae
Exons: 2
Source: RefSeq, a predicted model, not a curated record
CAAAGCCGUCAAAAACCAGUCUUCAUAAAAAUGUCAAAAAUUGCCAGUCAAAAAAGAAAGCCAAACUUUUGGAAAUCAAGGCGACCAUACGGCAUGAAGGGUGAAUGUAGUUGUUCUUUAUGUUCACUGACCACGCUUUGUCGACAGAACGCCAAGAGGUAGUUUUUCCAUCCUGGGAGCUCGCCUGCCGAUACAACUCGCACCCACCACCGCAGGUGUUGGGUGAGAGGGCCUUCGUCCUUAUUGGCGACAUCGCAAAUGUACAGCAGCGUGACCAUCUCUGGAGGGAGGCGCGCGCACUGGGGGGUCGCGGCCGCGGCGCGAGGCGGGCGCGCUCCAAAAUCACGCUGUCGUGCUCCUCAUUGCCUCUCGCCGGAGUUUAUCAAGAAUGGGGAAUGAUGAGGAAUACUGCCCGGUAAUGAUGGGGGCGUGACUGCGGGGCCCCGCCGACGUCAAAGUGGCACGACAACCGACAUGGAAAGUGGGCCUUCCACGAGGCGCGGCAUGGCUCUCUACUGGUGGUCGCCUUGAAACUAGACCAGAAAAACAAAUGGGGUGCCUUCUAAUCCCUUCUUUGAAGGCCGUCGUGAAGUAAGUGCCUCACAAAAGGUGAUAUUUUUUGGCACCUUUCGAUGCCGUUGUAACUAAGCAGCACCCCUAAAAAUCCCCAGCACCCUUAAAAUGGUUUGUGUGUUGUUUUUUGGUGUAUUUUUUUGCACCUUUGUCUUUGUAGUGACUCCACACACUAUUUGUAGUGCACCGGAAAAUAUAACAUUCAGAGGUGACUCAGAAACAUUAAGAAACAUUAUGACACAUUCGAAAAAACAAUUGGUAAAAAAUAUUAUCCGCAUUUUUGCUAGUUGUAAUUGUUAAAAUGCGCCCUUAUUACAUUUUGUCGGACUAGUUGCCAAGAUGAAAGUACAAUGUCACGAUAAUCACAGAUGUAUGUCUAUUUAAGUGUAUAUCUAUUAAAGCGAUUUAUGUUGA